AGCGAACGCUGGCGGCAGGCCUAACACAUGCAAGUCGAACGAACCUUUCGGGGUUAGUGGCGGACGGGUGAGUAACACGUUGGAACGUGCCUUUAGGUUCGGAAUAACUCAGGGAAACUUGUGCUAAUACCGAAUGUGCCCUUCGGGGGGAAGAUUUAUCGCCUUUAGAGCGUCCCGCGUCUGAUUAGCUAGUUGGGUGAGGUAAUGGCUCACCAAGGCGACGAUCAGUAGCUGGUCUGAGAGGAUGAUCAGCCACAUUGGGACUGAGACACGGCCCAAACUCCUACGGGAGGCAGCAGUGGGGAAUCUUGCGCAAUGGGCGAAAGGCUGACGCAGCCAUGCCGCGUGAAUGAUGAAGGUCUUAGGAUUGUAAAAUUCUUUCACCGGGGACGAUAAUGACGGUACCCGGAGAAGAAGCCCCGGCUAACUUCGUG
Molecule: ribosomal RNA, 434 nt
Filed under: uncultured bacterium
Lineage: Bacteria
Description: partial 16S ribosomal RNA
Rfam family: Bacterial small subunit ribosomal RNA
Source: RNAcentral